UACGGGGGGGGCAAGCGUUGUUCGGAAUUACUGGGCGUAAAGGGCUCGUAGGCGGCCAACUAAGUCGGAUGUGAAAUCCCCAAGCUUAACUUGGGAACUGCAUCCGAUACUGGAUGGCUUGAAUCCGGGAGAGUGAUGCAGAAUUCCAGGUGUAGCGGUGAAAUGCGUAGAUAUCUGGAGGAAUACCGGUGGCGAAGGCGGCAUCCUGGACCGGCAUUGACGCUGAGGAGCGAAAGCUAGGGGAGCAAACGGG
RNAcentral lists this ribosomal RNA (253 nucleotides) under uncultured bacterium. Its description in RNAcentral is "partial 16S ribosomal RNA". It matches the Rfam family "Bacterial small subunit ribosomal RNA", at positions 524 to 776 of the family's 1533-position model. The record is from RNAcentral.